UUCCGAUGGUGAACCUGCGGAAGGAUCAUU
RNAcentral lists this ribosomal RNA (30 nucleotides) under Schizophyllum commune. RNAcentral's name for it is "partial 18S ribosomal RNA". The record is from RNAcentral. Lineage: Eukaryota; Fungi; Basidiomycota; Agaricomycetes; Agaricales; Schizophyllaceae.